Molecule: ribosomal RNA, 450 nt
Filed under: uncultured bacterium
Lineage: Bacteria
Description: partial 16S ribosomal RNA
Rfam family: Bacterial small subunit ribosomal RNA
Source: RNAcentral
GUGGGGAAUCUUCCGCAAUGGACGAAAGUCUGACGGAGCAACGCCGCGUGAGUGAAGAAGGUUUUCGGAUCGUAAAGCUCUUUCGUUAGGGACGAACGUGCUCUUUGUGAAUAAUGAGGAGUAAUGACGGUACCUAAAUAAGAAGCCACGGCUAACUACGUGCCAGCAGCCGCGGUAAUACGUAGGUGGCAAGCGUUGUCCGGAAUUAUUGGGCGUAAAGCGCGCGCAGGCGGGAUAUCAAGUCUGUCUUAAAAGUGCGUGGCUCAACCUCGUGAGGGGACAGAAACUGGUAUUCUUGAGUGUCGGAGAGGAAAGUGGAAUUCCAAGUGUAGCGGUGAAAUGCGUAGAGAUUUGGAAGAACACCAGUGGCGAAGGCGACUUUCUGGACGAUGUCUGACGCUGAGGCGCGAAAGCUAGGGGAGCGAACGGGAUUAGAAACCCGAGUAGUCC